CUACGGGGGGCACCAGUGAGGAAUAUUGCACAAUGGGGGGAACCCUGAUUCAGCAACGCCGCGUGGAGGAUGACGCAUUUCAGUGUGUAAACUCCUUUUAUAUGUCAAGAAAACGACGGUAGCAUAUGAAUAAGCACCGGCUAACUCCGUGCCAGCAGCCGUGGUAAUACGGAGGGUGCAAGCGUUACUCGGAAUCACUGGGCGUAAAGGACGCGUAGGCGGGUUGGAAAGUCAGGUGUGAAAUCCUACAGCUUAACUGUAGAACUGCACUUGAAACUUCUAAUCUAGAGUAUGGGAGAGGGAGAUGGAAUUAGUGGUGUAGGGGUAAAAUCCGUAGAUAUCACUAGGAAUACCUAAAGCGAAGGCGAUCUCCUGGAACAUUACUGACGCUAAGGCGUGAAAGCGUAGGGAGCAAACAGGAUUAGAUACCCUCGUAGUC
Molecule: ribosomal RNA, 439 nt
Filed under: uncultured bacterium
Lineage: Bacteria
Description: partial 16S ribosomal RNA
Rfam family: Bacterial small subunit ribosomal RNA
Source: RNAcentral